Molecule: ribosomal RNA, 497 nt
Filed under: uncultured bacterium
Lineage: Bacteria
Description: partial 16S ribosomal RNA
Rfam family: Bacterial small subunit ribosomal RNA
Source: RNAcentral
GAUGAACGCUGGCGGCGUGCCUAAUACAUGCAAGUCGAGCGAACAGACGAGGAGCUUGCUCCUUUGACGUUAGCGGCGGACGGGUGAGUAACACGUGGGUCACCUACCUAUAAGACUGGGAUAACUUCGGGAAACCGGAGCUAAUACCGGAUCAUAUUUCGAACCGCAUGGUUCGAUAGUGAAAGAUGGCUUUGCUAUCACUUAUAGAUGGACCUGCGCCGUAUUAGCUAGUUGGUAAGGUAACGGCUUACCAAGGCAACGAUACGUAGCCGACCUGAGAGGGUGAUCGGCCACACUGGAACUGAGACACGGUCCAGACUCCUACGGGAGGCAGCAGUAGGGAAUCUUCCGCAAUGGGCGAAAGCCUGACGGAGCAACGCCGCGUGAGUGAUGAAGGUCUUCGGAUCGUAAAACUCUGUUAUUAGGGAAGAACAAACGUGUAAGUAACUGUGCACGUCUUGACGGUACCUAAUCAGAAAGCCACGGCUAACUACGUG